Molecule: ribosomal RNA, 520 nt
Filed under: uncultured Glomus
Lineage: Eukaryota; Fungi; Glomeromycota; Glomeromycetes; Glomerales; Glomeraceae
Description: SSU rRNA
Rfam family: Eukaryotic small subunit ribosomal RNA
Source: RNAcentral
AGCAGCCGCGGUAAUUCCAGCUCCAAUAGCGUAUAUUAAAGUUGUUGCAGUUAAAAAGCUCGUAGUUGAAUUUCGAGACCGGUUUAUUGGUCGUGCUUUUGUACGUACUGGUAUUAUUGGUUUCUCCUUUCUGACGAAUCUUAAUGCCAUUAAUUUGGUGUUUUGGGGAAUCAGGACUGUUACUUUGAAAAAAUUAGAGUGUUUAAAGCAGGCUCACGCUUGAAUACAUUAGCAUGGAAUAACGGAAUAGGACGUUUGAUUCUAUUUUGUUGGUUCCUAGGAUCGACGUAAUGAUUAAUAGGGAUAGUUGGGGGCAUUAGUAUUCAAUUGUCAGAGGUGAAAUUCUUGGAUUUAUUGAAGACUAACUACUGCGAAAGCAUUUGCCAAGGAUGUUUUCAUUAAUCAAGAACGAAAGUUAGGGGAUCGAAGAUGAUCAGAUACCGUCGUAGCCUUAACCAUAAACUAUGCCGACUAGGGAUCGGAUGAUGUAAUUUUUAAUGACUCAUUCGGCGCCUUACGG